GCCACCCUACGGGGCGCAGCAGUGGGGAAUAUUGGGCAAUGGGCGCAAGCCUGACCCAGCAACGCCGCGUGAAGGAAGAAGGCUUUCGGGUUGUAAACUUCUUUUCUUGGGGACGAAGAAAGUGACGGUACCCAAGGAAUAAGCCACGGCUAACUACGUGCCAGCAGCCGCGGUAAUACGUAGGUGGCAAGCGUUAUCCGGAUUUACUGGGUGUAAAGGGAGCGCAGACGGCAAGGCAAGUCUGAUG
This 247-nucleotide ribosomal RNA is filed under the name uncultured bacterium. RNAcentral describes it as "partial 16S ribosomal RNA". It matches the Rfam family "Bacterial small subunit ribosomal RNA", at positions 333 to 594 of the family's 1533-position model. The record is from RNAcentral.